Molecule: ribosomal RNA, 254 nt
Filed under: uncultured bacterium
Lineage: Bacteria
Description: partial 16S ribosomal RNA
Rfam family: Bacterial small subunit ribosomal RNA
Source: RNAcentral
UACGUAGGUGGCAAGCGUUGUCCGGAUUUACUGGGCGUAAAGCGUGCGUAGGCGGUUCGUUAAGUCUGUUGUGAAAGCCCCGGGCUCAACCUGGGAAUGGCAAUGGAUACUGGCGAGCUAGAGUGUGUCAGAGGAUGGUGGAAUUCCCGGUGUAGCGGUGAAAUGCGUGGAGAAUCGGGAGGAACAUCAGUGGCGAAGGCGGCCAUCUGGGACAACACUGACGCUGAGGCACGAAAGCGUGGGGAGCAAACAGG